UACGUAGGGUGCAAGCGUUAAUCGGAAUUACUGGGCGUAAAGCGUGCGCAGGCGGUUAUGCAAGACAGAUGUGAAAUCCCCGGGCUUAACCUGGGAACUGCAUUUGUGACUGCAUAGCUGGAGUGCGGCAGAGGGGGAUGGAAUUCCGCGUGUAGCAGUGAAAUGCGUAGAUAUGCGGAGGAACACCGAUGGCGAAGGCAAUCCCCUGGGCCUGCACUGACGCUCAUGCGCGAAAGCGUGGGGAGCAAACAGG
Molecule: ribosomal RNA, 253 nt
Filed under: uncultured bacterium
Lineage: Bacteria
Description: partial 16S ribosomal RNA
Rfam family: Bacterial small subunit ribosomal RNA
Source: RNAcentral